Molecule: long non-coding RNA, 1511 nt
Filed under: Vulpes vulpes (red fox)
Lineage: Eukaryota; Metazoa; Chordata; Mammalia; Carnivora; Canidae
Description: lncRNA (ENSVVUG00000006522.1)
Source: RNAcentral
AUGUAAAAAAAAAAAAAAAAACAUUGAUGUAAAUGGCUUUGGCCAACUCUCAAGUGUGACCUAAAUGCAAGGAUUGUUUUUGGGGUCAGAAGAGUUCCAGAAUUUCAUGUGAUUGCUCAUUCAAGUGCCUGGAGAGCUGGGAUGUGAAAUCUGCAUUCUUAAUCCUAGACCUUGGCCAGUCAUCUGAGAUAUCACCUUACUGGCAAGACUACAUGGCACUUAGACCACACUGCUUAAUGGACUCCUGUGAGAGGAAAGGGGUUGGCUCAUCAAGCAAGAUGGUCUCUCUGAAUCAGAUCUGCUUGGUGCAAGUGCGAAAGAGACCACAGAUGGAAGCUCACAGAUGGAAGCCUGCUGAUCAUACAGCUGUUUCUUUGUUGAUUGGCUGUAGUCCCCUGGGUCUCAUCUUUGGGAGUGAAUCAGAAUCACCUAGAAGCCUUGUGACUCGAACCCAUAUCUUCGGAAUUCCAGGUGUUAUUUCCAUGAUAUCUCACUGAAUCCUGCUCUUUAUGAAAAACAGUGUGAGAUAGUGAGUUUUCAGUAUAAGGAGACUGGGCUCUAGAGCAGGGCCCCACCCCAGAGUUUCCACUUCAGUAAGUCUGGGGAAUAGUCUGAAAAUGUGCAUUUAUAACAAGUUCCCAGAUAAUGGUAAAUCUGCUGGCUCUGUAACCACACUGUGAGAACAACGGUGUGGCAAAUACUAGGACUCUUUCAGUAUGGAUAUUUCUGUCACCUCAUACCCAUGUAUGGAGUACUGAGCUCACUAUUUACUCCCUAAACCUACCACACUCCCCACUUUUCCCCUAUUGUAGUAAAUGACAGCACAUUGCACCUGUUUUUUUUAGCAAGAAGCCUCAAAGUCGUCUUUUUCUCUUCUCCCCCAACUAGUUAAAUCCUGAAGCUCUGUUGCUUCUGUUCACUAAGGGUCUUUUCAGUCCAUAUACUGUCCUUUAGUCGCACUGCUGCCACCUUAGUUCAGGCACCAGCAUCUGAUGAUUCAUAGGGACCUUCUGCAUGAAUUCCUACAUUCAUAUGUGUCCUUCUCCAACAUUCUCUGUGGGCAAGGUGACUUUUAUAAAAUACAAGUCUAAACACGUCACUCCUCGGUAUAAAGUACUUGUUUUCAUUUGCCCUUGGGAUAAAGCUCCAAAUCUAUAACAUGGUCUACAAGGCUCUGGGUGACAUGGGCUGCCUGUUUCUCCACACUCACUUGAGGGCACAUCCCUCACUGUCUACACUCCCAUCACACAGAUACCCUGUCAGCCUUUGGAGCCUGCCAUUCUUUCUCUAGAAGCUGGGCCUUUGGCAUAUAACCUUUUUAUUCACACUUUGCUUGUACAACCCCCAGCUGUUCUCCAAAUCUCAGCUUAGGGGUCCCUUCCUCAAUGAAGUGUUGAUUUAUCCACUGGAUUAAGUUAAAUGGAUUCACUCUAGUUGUCCAUGGCAGCUCUGCUUUUCUUCUUAGUAUCCUCAUCAAAAUAAAAUUACUUCUCUGAGGGUAUGGAUUCCCA